AUACGUAGGUGACAAGCGUUAUCCGGAUUUACUGGGCGUAAAGGGCGUGUAGGCGGUCUUGCAAGUCAGAAGUGAAAUUCCUGAGCUCAACUCGGGCGCUGCUUCUGAAACUGCAGGACUUGAGUGCUGGAGGGGAUAGCGGAAUUCCUAGUGGAGCGGUAAAAUGCGCAGAUAUUAGGAAGAACACCGGUGGCGAAGGCGGCUAUCUUGACAGUAACUGGCGCUGAGGCGCGAAAGCUUGGGGAGCAAACAGGAUUAGAUGCCCUGUUAGUCCACGCCGUAAACGAUGAAUACUAGGUGUAGUGGGUAUCGACUCCCUCUGUGCCGCAGUUAACACAAUAAGUAUUCCGCCUGGGGAGUACGGCCGCAAGGUUGAAACUCAAAGGAAUUGACGGGG
Molecule: ribosomal RNA, 397 nt
Filed under: uncultured bacterium
Lineage: Bacteria
Description: partial 16S ribosomal RNA
Rfam family: Bacterial small subunit ribosomal RNA
Source: RNAcentral